AGAAAUGGCUACUACAUCUAAGGAAGGCAGCAGGCGCGUAAAUUACCCACCCCCAGCUCGAGGAGGGAGUGACGAAAAAUAACAAUAUAGAACUGAUUAUU
Molecule: non-coding RNA, 101 nt
Filed under: Clunio marinus
Lineage: Eukaryota; Metazoa; Arthropoda; Insecta; Diptera; Chironomidae
Description: Eukaryotic small subunit ribosomal RNA
Rfam family: Eukaryotic small subunit ribosomal RNA
Source: Rfam by way of RNAcentral